GAUGAACGCUGGCGGCGUGCCUAAUACAUGCAAGUCGAGCGAACAGACGAGGAGCUUGCUCCUCUGACGUUAGCGGCGGACGGGUGAGUAACACGUGGUUAACCUACCUAUAAGACUGGGAUAACUUCGGGAAACCGGAGCUAAUACCGGAUAAUAUAUUGAACCUCAUUGUUCAAUAGUUAAAGACGGUUUUGCUGUCACUUAUAGAUGGAUCCGCGCCGCAUUAGCUAGUUGGUAAGGUAACGGCUUACCAAGGCAACGAGGCGUAACCGACCUGAGAGGGUGGUCGGACACACGGGAACUGAGAAAGGGUCCAGACACCUACGGGAGGCAGCAGUAGGGAAUCUUCCGCGAUGGGCGAAAGCCUGACGGAGCAAAGCCGCGUGAGGGAUGAAGGUCUUAGGAUCGGAAAACGCUGUUAGUAGGGAAGAACAAAUGUGUAAGUAACUAUGCACGUCUUGACGGUACCUAAUCAGAAAGCCACGGCUAACUACGUG
RNAcentral lists this ribosomal RNA (497 nucleotides) under uncultured bacterium. RNAcentral's name for it is "partial 16S ribosomal RNA". It matches the Rfam family "Bacterial small subunit ribosomal RNA", at positions 28 to 507 of the family's 1533-position model. The record is from RNAcentral.